CCUGCGGAAGGAUCAUUGUCGAAAUCGAACGGAAGAACGACCCGCGAAUCGUCAUUGCGUACUAGACAGAGCCCGUGAGCACCUAACGCUCAUGGGACUCGCGUCGCGUCGGCGUGGGUGUACUCGAGACCAGCGUCGUACCGGCGGACAAACAACGUCAGCACGGAUCGUGCCAAGGAGCUGCAUGGAGAGAAUCGUCGUCCCACGCCUUUGAUAGUCCUCGAUGCGGGACGGGGGGCGGGGGAUGUACGCAAUCUCUACUCAAGUCUAAACGACUCUCGGCAACGGAUAUCUCGGCUCUUGCAUCGAUGAAGAACGUAGCGAAAUGCGAUACUUGGUGUGAAUUGCAGAAUCCCGCGAACCAUCAAUUCUUUGAACGCAAGUUGCGCCCGAAGCCAUUCGGCCGAGGGCACGCCUGCCUGGGUGUCGUGAAUCCCCUUGCCCCUAGGCACCCGCAUGAGCAUUGGCGGGGAUAUAUGCUCGGGCGCAGAAUAUGGUCUCCCGUGGGAUCGGCAUGCACGGCAUGUCGAGGUGCGGUUGGCCGAAAAUCGAGCAAUGGCUGUGACGGGCACCACGGCGUUCGGUGGAUCGAAUGAGAUUGGCUGCGCCGUGGGCUCGGCAUUAGGCGGGCUCCGGAC
This 638-nucleotide ribosomal RNA is filed under the name Miconia subcompressa subsp. plumieri. RNAcentral describes it as "eukaryotic LSU rRNA". The stretch from base 274 to 429 matches the Rfam family "5.8S ribosomal RNA". The record is from RNAcentral. Lineage: Eukaryota; Viridiplantae; Streptophyta; Magnoliopsida; Myrtales; Melastomataceae.